This 72-nucleotide transfer RNA is filed under the name Urocitellus parryii (Arctic ground squirrel). Its description in RNAcentral is "Spermophilus parryii (Arctic ground squirrel) tRNA". It matches the Rfam family "tRNA". Rfam says of the family: Transfer RNA (tRNA) molecules are approximately 80 nucleotides in length. Their secondary structure includes four short double-helical elements and three loops (D, anti-codon, and T loops). Further hydrogen bonds mediate the characteristic L-shaped molecular structure. tRNAs have two regions of fundamental functional importance: the anti-codon, which is responsible for specific mRNA codon recognition, and the 3' end, to which the tRNAs corresponding amino acid is attached (by aminoacyl-tRNA synthetases). tRNAs cope with the degeneracy of the genetic code in two manners: having more than one tRNA (with a specific anti-codon) for a particular amino acid; and 'wobble' base-pairing, i.e. permitting non-standard base-pairing at the 3rd anti-codon position. The record is from Rfam by way of RNAcentral. RNAcentral also lists the same sequence under 1 other name. Lineage: Eukaryota; Metazoa; Chordata; Mammalia; Rodentia; Sciuridae.
GUGGGUAUAGCUCAGUGGUAGAGUUUUUGCCUAGUAUGUUUGAGGCCCUGGGUUCAAUACCCAGUACCAAAA